Molecule: ribosomal RNA, 497 nt
Filed under: uncultured bacterium
Lineage: Bacteria
Description: partial 16S ribosomal RNA
Rfam family: Bacterial small subunit ribosomal RNA
Source: RNAcentral
GACGAACGCUGGCGGCGUGCCUAAUACAUGCAAGUUGAGCGCUGAAGGUUGGUACUUGUACCGACUGGAUGAGCAGCGAACGGGUGAGUAACGCGUGGGGAAUCUGCCUUUGAGCGGGGGACAACAUUUGGAAACGAAUGCUAAUACCGCAUAAAAACUUUAAACACAAGUUUUAAGUUUGAAAGAUGCAAUUGCAUCACUCAAAGAUGAUCCCGCGUUGUAUUAGCUAGUUGGUGAGGUAAAGGCUCACCAAGGGGAUGAUACAUAGCCGACCUGAGAGGGUGAUCGGCCAAAUUGGGACUGAGACACGGCCCAAACUCCCACGGGAGGCAGCAGUAGGGAAUCUUCGGCAAUGGACGAAAGGCUGACCGAGCAACGCCGCGUGAGUGAAGAAGGUUUUCGGAUCGUAAAACUCUGUUGGUAGAGAAGAACGUUGGUGAGAGUGGAAAGCUCAUCAAGUGACGGUAACUACACAGAAAGGGACGGCUAACUACGUG